GGUGCUGCAGUGGUUGUCGUCAGCUCGUGCCGUGAGGUGUCGGUUAAGUCCCAUAACGAGCGCAACCCUUAUCGUUAGUUGCCAGCGGGUAAUGCCAGGAGCUCUAACGAAACUGCCGGUGUAAACCGAGAGGAAGGUGGGGAUGACGUCAAAUCAGCACGGCCCUUAUGUCCAGGGCUACACACGUGUUACAAUGGCCGGCACAGAGGGCAGCUACCUGGAGACAGGAUGCGAAUCUCGAAAGCCGGUCUCAGUUCGGAUCGGAGUCUGCAACUCGACUCCGUGAAGCUGGAUUCGCUAGUAAUCGCGCAUCAGCCAUGGCGCGGUGAAUACGUUCCCAGGCCUU
This 346-nucleotide ribosomal RNA is filed under the name uncultured Sphingobacteriales bacterium. RNAcentral's name for it is "bacterial SSU rRNA". It matches the Rfam family "Bacterial small subunit ribosomal RNA", at positions 1037 to 1382 of the family's 1533-position model. Lineage: Bacteria; Pseudomonadati; Bacteroidota; Sphingobacteriia; Sphingobacteriales. The record is from RNAcentral.